GCUCCAGUGGCGCAAUCGGUUAGCGCGCGCUACUUAUAAGGCAGUAUCUGUUGAGCAAUGCCGAGGUUGUGAGUUCAAGCUUCACCUGGAGCA
This 93-nucleotide transfer RNA is filed under the name Pelobates cultripes (western spadefoot toad). RNAcentral's name for it is "tRNA.Ile". It matches the Rfam family "tRNA". From Rfam's summary of the family: Transfer RNA (tRNA) molecules are approximately 80 nucleotides in length. Their secondary structure includes four short double-helical elements and three loops (D, anti-codon, and T loops). The record is from RNAcentral. Lineage: Eukaryota; Metazoa; Chordata; Amphibia; Anura; Pelobatidae.